GCCCCUAUCUAUGUGCCACAAGCAAGAUCCAGCACAGCCAAAUUAAUAAAUUUUAAACAAAGAAUGGGCGAUAUUCCAGAAUGCUGUUUAGAACACAGUACAGCUCUCUUGCUUGGAAACCAGUCAAGGUGUUUCGGAGUUACAAACGAGUUAGCUUUCCAAAGCUUCUAUGUUUGGUCUUCUGACUCAUCAUGCUGGAAACUUUAGUUAUUAUAUAUCUACAUUUUUCCUAAAGUGAUGUCACGCAAGUGUAUGUUCCUCGGCUCUUUGUCUCGUCACAACAAAGAUUUGGAGUGACGGACAUUAAAGCCCCCUUGGCAUGUCACAGCUCUCAGGUCUUGGAUAGACCGUGAGCUCUCAGGUCUUGGAUAGACUGUGUUAUAGGUCUCAGGUCUCGAAUGGAUUGUGUUAUAGCUCUUAGACAAAUCAGUGUUACGGCUCAGUGUUACAGCUCUAUUUUAUUUAGAAGAUAGCAGGAAAAUCCACCUUCGAGGCGUGAGGGCACGUCAAUCCAAAGACACGAGGAGAAGAGCACCCCAGCGCGCGGGGGAGAGAGAGAAAGAGAGCGAGCUAGCUUUGGCUCCUCUCUUUAUAUGUUUUUCUCUCCCUGGGCCUGUCCUGUGUAAAUUGGGCCAGCCAGGAGCAUUGUUUGUUUUACCUGAGGUCCUUACUCCGGUCCUCAGACCUUCUUUUGUUCUAUUUUCGCAGGCUUUUCCCUUCCUUGUCUUUAAGCCACCACCAUUUUGGGCUCCUUUUCCCUACUCUACCUAACAGUUUGAAUGACUUCCCAAGUAGAACUUUGUUAUUGAUGAAUGUCACUGGUCGUCUUCGCUUUCCCGUAACCACAAGCUGAGGAUCUCAUUACUCAAAACUGGGAAGUUUGUUCUUAUCAUUUAGCAGUGACUGGUUAACCAAGUCCAGAUUUAAAAUGGGGGCUUGGGGUGGGGGGAGGUGUAAACAAUAAAAGGAUGAAAACUGGAACCCAAGAAGAGAUAAAUCACAAAUAGUUUGUUUCAGUAGAGACUGUUAAAGUCUCUGAGCACAAGGGGUCAC
Molecule: long non-coding RNA, 1053 nt
Organism: Bos taurus (domestic cattle)
Lineage: Eukaryota; Metazoa; Chordata; Mammalia; Artiodactyla; Bovidae
Source: Ensembl